CCACGCCCCGCGCUGGGUUUCUACCUGAGUCAUCAGCCGGUCGGCUCCAGUGUUUUCUUCAUCCUUAAAUAUGAUGUCGGGGUUGUAAUUGGGGGGGGGCCGAGUUGAAGGAUGGCCUUCAAUUCCGUGAUCCCACGACACUGACCUCGGAAGAAUCCAGGGGCUUGUCCGACAGUCUCUGCAUGGCGGGAAGUGGAGACUCGAGCCCCUCAUUUUCCUGCCCAGAGCCCCCCUUCCCUGCGCCUCAGUGUGUAGCAGGUGCCAUUGUGCAGGUGAGGGAAACCAGGCAGAGAGGUGAGAUCUGUCCGAGCCCAGGCAGAAGAUAGGACAGCAGGCGUGUCAGAGGG
This 347-nucleotide long non-coding RNA is filed under the name Sus scrofa (pig). RNAcentral describes it as "lncRNA (ENSSSCG00005039908.1)". The record is from RNAcentral. Lineage: Eukaryota; Metazoa; Chordata; Mammalia; Artiodactyla; Suidae.